RNAcentral lists this transfer RNA (72 nucleotides) under Microcaldota archaeon. RNAcentral's name for it is "tRNA-Thr". It matches the Rfam family "tRNA". From Rfam's summary of the family: Transfer RNA (tRNA) molecules are approximately 80 nucleotides in length. Their secondary structure includes four short double-helical elements and three loops (D, anti-codon, and T loops). The record is from RNAcentral. Lineage: Archaea; Nanobdellati; Microcaldota. RNAcentral also lists the same sequence under 1 other name.
GCCCCUGUGGCGCAGCGGCAGCGCGCGUCCUUGGUAAGGACGAGGUCGCGAGUUCAAAUCUCGCCGGGGGCU